ACACGUAGGGGCCUGACGUUGUUCGGAAUCAUUGGGCGUAAAGGGCGCGCAGGCGGCCGUCCAAGUCCGGUGUUAAAUGGUCGGGCUCAACCCGAUCAUGCGCUGGAAACUGGGCGGCUGGAGUCCCGGAGGGGAUGCCGGAAUUCCAGGUGUAGGGGUGAAAUCUGUAGAUAUCUGGAAGAACACCAAUGGCGAAGGCAGGCAUCUGGCCAUGUACGGACGCUGAGACGCGAAGGUGCGGGGAGCAAACAGGUUUAGAUACCCUGGUAGUCCGCACAGUAAACGAUGUGCACCAGGUGGCGGGGGGUCGACCCCCGGUACCGUAGCUAACGCAUUAAGUGCACCGCCUGGGGAGUAUGCUCGCAAGGGUGAAACUCAAAUGAAUUGACGGGG
RNAcentral lists this ribosomal RNA (393 nucleotides) under uncultured bacterium. RNAcentral describes it as "partial 16S ribosomal RNA". It matches the Rfam family "Bacterial small subunit ribosomal RNA", at positions 523 to 918 of the family's 1533-position model. The record is from RNAcentral.